UAACACUAGGUAACCUGCCCAUGUGUCCGGGAUAACUGCUGGAAACGGUAGCUAAAACCGGAUAGGUAUACAGAGCGCAUGCUCAGUAUAUUAAAGCGCCCUUCAAGGCGUGAACAUGGAUGGACCUGCGGCGCAUUAGCUAGUUGGUGAGGUAACGGCCCACCAAGGCGAUGAUGCGUAGCCGGCCUGAGAGGGUAAACGGCCACAUUGGGACUGAGACACGGCCCAA
Molecule: ribosomal RNA, 229 nt
Filed under: uncultured bacterium
Lineage: Bacteria
Description: partial 16S ribosomal RNA
Rfam family: Bacterial small subunit ribosomal RNA
Source: RNAcentral